This 497-nucleotide ribosomal RNA is filed under the name uncultured bacterium. RNAcentral describes it as "partial 16S ribosomal RNA". It matches the Rfam family "Bacterial small subunit ribosomal RNA", at positions 28 to 507 of the family's 1533-position model. The record is from RNAcentral.
GACGAACGCUGGCGGCGUGCCUAAUACAUGCAAGUUGAGCGCUGAAGGUUGGUACUUGUACCAACUGGAUGAGCAGCGAACGGGUGAGUAACGCGUGGGGAAUCUGCCUUUGAGCGGGGGACAACAUUUGGAAACGAAUGCUAAUACCGCAUAAAAACUUUAAACACAAGUUUUAAGUUUGAAAGAUGCAAUUGCAUCACUCAAAGAUGAUCCCGCGUUGUAUUAGCUAGUUGGUGAGGUAAAGGCUCACCAAGGCGAUGAUACAUAGCCGACCUGAGAGGGUAAUCGGCCACAUUGGGACUGAGACACGGCCCAAACUCCUACGGGAGGCAGCAGUAGGGAAUCUUCGGCAAUGGACGAAAGUCUGACCGAGCAACGCCGCGUGAGUGAAGAAGGUUUUCGGAUCGUAAAACUCUGUUGGUAGAGAAGAACGUUGGUGAGAGUGGAAAGCUCAUCAAGUGACGGUAACUACCCAGAGAGGGACGGCUAACUACGUA